UACGGAGGGGGCGAGCAUUGUUCGGAAUUAUUGGGCGUAAAGGGCAUGUAGGCGGUUCGGUAAGUUAAAGGUGAAAUGCCAGGGCUUAACCCUGGAGCUGCUUUUAAUACUGCCAGACUAGAGACCGGGAGAGGAUAGCGGAAUUCCUAGUGUAGAGGUGAAAUUCGUAGAUAUUA
This 176-nucleotide ribosomal RNA is filed under the name uncultured Anaplasma sp. RNAcentral describes it as "partial 16S ribosomal RNA". It matches the Rfam family "Bacterial small subunit ribosomal RNA", at positions 524 to 699 of the family's 1533-position model. Lineage: Bacteria; Pseudomonadati; Pseudomonadota; Alphaproteobacteria; Rickettsiales; Anaplasmataceae. The record is from RNAcentral.